Molecule: ribosomal RNA, 252 nt
Filed under: uncultured bacterium
Lineage: Bacteria
Description: partial 16S ribosomal RNA
Rfam family: Bacterial small subunit ribosomal RNA
Source: RNAcentral
UACGUAGGGGGCAAGCGUUGUCCGGAAUUAUUGGGCGUAAAGCGCGCGCAGGCGGUCAUUUAAGUCUGGUGUUUAAGGCCAAGGCUCAGCCUUGGUUCGCACUGGAAACUGGGUGACUUGAGUGCAGAAGAGGAGAGUGGAAUUCCACGUGUAGCGGUGAAAUGCGUAGAUAUGUGGAGGAACACCAGUGGCGAAGGCGACUCUCUGGGCUGUAACUGACGCUGAGGCGCGAAAGCGUGGGGAGCAAACAGG